Molecule: ribosomal RNA, 468 nt
Filed under: uncultured bacterium
Lineage: Bacteria
Description: partial 16S ribosomal RNA
Rfam family: Bacterial small subunit ribosomal RNA
Source: RNAcentral
GACGAACGCUGGCGGCGUGCUUAACACAAGCAAGUCGAACGGAAAGGCCCUGCUUUUGUGGGGUGCUCGAGUGGCGAACGGGUGAGUAACACGUGAGUAACCUGCCCUUGACUUUGGGAUAACUUCAGGAAACUGGGGCUAAUACCGGAUAGGAGCUCCUGCUGCAUGGUGGGGGUUGGAAAGUUUCGGCGGUUGGGGAUGGACUCGCGGCUUAUCAGCUUGUUGGUGGGGUAGUGGCUUACCAAGGCUUUGACGGGUAGCCGGCCCGAGAGGGUGACCGGCCACAUUGGGACUGAGAUACGGCCCAGACUCCUACGGGAGGCAGCAGUGGGGAAUAUUGCACAAUGGGCGGAAGCCUGAUGCAGCAACGCCGCGUGCGGGAUGACGGCCUUCGGGUUGUAAACCGCUUUCGCCUGUGACGAAGCGUGAGUGACGGUAAUGGGUAAAGAAGCACCGGCUAACUACGUG